CAUGAAGCUGGAAUCGCUAGUAAUCGCGAAUCAGAAUGUCGCGGUGAAUACGUUCCCGGGUCUUGUACACACCGCCCGUCACACCAUGGGAGUCGGAAAUGCCCGAAGUCAGUGACCCAACCGUAAGGAGGGAGCUGCCGAAGGUGGAGCCGGUAACUGGGGUGAAGUCGUAACAAGGUAAC
RNAcentral lists this ribosomal RNA (182 nucleotides) under uncultured bacterium. RNAcentral describes it as "partial 16S ribosomal RNA". It matches the Rfam family "Bacterial small subunit ribosomal RNA", at positions 1319 to 1500 of the family's 1533-position model. The record is from RNAcentral.